GACGAACGCUGGCGGCGUGCUUAACGCAUGCAAGUCGUACGGUAAGGCCCUUUCGGGGGUACACGAGUGGCGAACGGGUGCGUAACACGUGAGUAACCUGCCCACAACUUUGGGAUAACGCUAGGAAACUGGUGCUAAUACUGGAUAUGUGCUCCUGCUGCAUGGUGGGGGUUGGAAAGCUCCGGCGGUUGUGGAUGGACUCGCGGCCUAUCAGCUUGUUGGUGGGGUAGUGGUCUACCAAGGCGGCGACGGGUAGCCGGCCUGAGAGGGUGACCGGCCACAUUGGGACUGAGAUACGGCCCAGACUCCUACGGGAGGCAGCAGUGGGGAAUAUUGCACAAUGGGCGCAAGCCUGAUGCAGCAACGCCGCGUGCGGGAUGACGGCCUUCGGGUUGUAAACCGCUUUCAGCAGGGACGAAGCUUUUUGUGACGGUACCUGCAGAAGAAGCACCGGCUAACUACGUG
RNAcentral lists this ribosomal RNA (465 nucleotides) under uncultured bacterium. RNAcentral's name for it is "partial 16S ribosomal RNA". It matches the Rfam family "Bacterial small subunit ribosomal RNA", at positions 28 to 507 of the family's 1533-position model. The record is from RNAcentral.